Molecule: ribosomal RNA, 56 nt
Filed under: Phaeodactylum tricornutum
Lineage: Eukaryota; Bacillariophyta; Bacillariophyceae; Surirellales; Neidiaceae
Description: partial 28S ribosomal RNA
Source: RNAcentral
CAAGCAAGAAGACCCGCUGAAUUUAGCAUAUAUUAAGCGGAGGAAAAGAAACUAAC